AUACUUACCUUGCAGGGGAGAAACCAUGAUCAGGUGGUUCACCCAGGGCAAGGCUCAGCCAUUGCACUCUAGGUUGGGCAAUUCCCUGUGAAUUCCCCAAAUGUGGGAAUCUCGACUGCAUAAUAUCUGGUAGUAGGAGACUGCAUUCACGCUGUCCCCCA
Molecule: small nuclear RNA, 161 nt
Organism: Parambassis ranga (Indian glassy fish)
Lineage: Eukaryota; Metazoa; Chordata; Actinopteri; Ambassidae
Gene: U1
Rfam family: U1 spliceosomal RNA
About the family: U1 is a small nuclear RNA (snRNA) component of the spliceosome (involved in pre-mRNA splicing).
Source: Ensembl